UGCCAGCCGCCGCGGUAAUACGUGAGCCCCGAGCAUUAUCCGGAAUUAUUGGGCGUAAAGGGUCCGUAGGCGGUUUAAUUAGUCUCCUGUUAAAGCACCGGGCUUAACCCGGGACAGGCAGGAGAAACGGUUAAACUAGAGAAAUUGAGGGGUGAGUGGAACUCAUGGUGUAGGGGUGAAAUCCGUUGAUAUCAUGGGGAACACCAAAAGCGAAGGCAACUCACUGGCAAUUUUCUGACGCUGAGGGACGAAACCCUGGUCAGCGAAUGGGAUUAGAUA
This 279-nucleotide ribosomal RNA is filed under the name uncultured bacterium. RNAcentral's name for it is "partial 16S ribosomal RNA". It matches the Rfam family "Bacterial small subunit ribosomal RNA", at positions 506 to 784 of the family's 1533-position model. The record is from RNAcentral.